RNAcentral lists this ribosomal RNA (101 nucleotides) under Caerostris darwini. The record is from RNAcentral. Lineage: Eukaryota; Metazoa; Arthropoda; Arachnida; Araneae; Araneidae.
ACGGCCAUACCAUGCUGAAAAUACCGUUUCUCGUUCGAUCACCGAAGUCAAGCAUCCUUCGGCGCGGUCAAUACUUGGGUGGGUGACCACCUGGGAGAACA